Gasterosteus aculeatus aculeatus (three-spined stickleback) is the source of this 1032-nucleotide non-coding RNA. The record is from the annotation of a RefSeq genome assembly. Lineage: Eukaryota; Metazoa; Chordata; Actinopteri; Perciformes; Gasterosteidae.
CACACUGACACCAUGCUGGGGACCCUCUGCACUCUCAUCACUGCUCUCACAUGUGUGAGUGGUGUGACGGUGGUGACACAGAAGCCUGUUGUAGCCGUGACGACAGGAGAGACAGUCUCCAUAGACUGUAACCUCGGGACUGUUACUAACAGUGGUGCUCGCUGGUAUAAACAGAUUCCAGGAGGAGUUCCUCAGUUUGUAUUAUAUUAUUAUCACAGCGGCGGCUCUCCAUUCUAUGGCACUGGUUUCUCCUCUUCAAAGUUCACAUCCACUCAUCAGUCUACUACAGAUUAUCGUUUGACCAUAAAGAACAUCGAGGAGGGAGACUCAGCCGUCUAUCACUGUCAAACAUGGGACACCUCUGUUGAACAGGGUGUAUCACAGUGAUUUACACUGUGACAAAAACCUCUACACUAAGUACUUCUGCUUUUGACACGCUGACACAUUUUUAGUGAAGCCAUCAGUCAGUUUCUGUAACUUGUAUUUCUUGUAAACAGAUAUUUUCAAAAUGUUAAACCCAUUUAUUGAAUUUCUACACAAAUUCUUAAAUCUCAUUGUAGUUAUUUAUACUUAUCCUUGUGUAUGUCACGGAAUGGACGAUUGGGGACAAUGGAUGUUUUAUUGAUUGUGUAUUUAUUGAUUUAUUGAUUGCAUUUUUAUGGUUUAUGAUUGCAUGUUUUAUGACUUAUUGAUUCAUGAAUGUUUGCAUGUUCGAUUUAACGAUUUAUUGUGUGCUUUGAGUGUUGGUUUGAAUUGUAUCCUCGAUUAACAAUCGUCCCCAGUGACAAGUUACCAAUUAGUGGCAUAUGCUCAAUGGACCAAUGGGGAAAGGCCAGGGGCGGAACUUCUUCUUUUUAAACAGGAAGACUGGACUUUGGCAAGGAAGAAGAGAAGGGAGAAGGAGCAGGGAAAGGGAACAGGAACGGGAACACACCGCAGUGUUGAGCAAAUGGUGAUGGGUUUGGACGGACUAUUUUAGCUUCCUUUAUAUAUUUUAAUCAUUGUAUUAAAAUAAAUAUUUUUUUAUUUGUA